RNAcentral lists this ribosomal RNA (467 nucleotides) under uncultured bacterium. Its description in RNAcentral is "bacterial SSU rRNA". It matches the Rfam family "Bacterial small subunit ribosomal RNA", at positions 338 to 795 of the family's 1533-position model. The record is from RNAcentral.
CCUACGGGGGGCUGCAGUCGAGAAUCUUCCACAAUGGACGAAAGUCUGAUGGAGCGACGCCGCGUGAGUGAUGAAGGCCCUACGGGUUGUAAAACUCUGUCAGGAGAGAAGAAUCGCCGGGGUGCCAAUACCACCCUGGUCUGACGUUAUCUCCAGAGGAAGCUCCGGCUAACUCCGUGCCAGCAGCCGCGGUAAUACGGGGGGAGCAAGCGUUGUCCGGAAUUAUUGGGCGUAAAGGGCGUGUAGGCGGCCUGGUCAGUCGAAUGUGAAAUCCCACGGCUCAACCGUGGAACUGCGUUCGAUACUGCCUGGCUUGAGUAUGUGAGAGGUGUGCGGAAUUCCUGGUGUAGCGGUGGAAUGCGUAGAUAUCAGGAAGAACACCGAUGGCGAAGGCAGCACACUGGCGCAAUACUGACGCUGAGGCGCGAAAGCGUGGGGAGCAAACAGGAUUAGAUACCCUAGUAGUC